AAUACAUGCAAGUCGAACGAGUUCUGAUUAUUGAAAGGUGCUUGCAUCUUGAUUUAAUUUUGAACGAGUGGCGGACGGGUGAGUAACACGUGGGUAACCUGCCCUUAAGUGGGGGAUAACAUUUGGAAACAGAUGCUAAUACCGCAUAAAUCCAAGAACCGCAUGGUUCUUGGCUGAAAGAUGGCGUAAGCUAUCGCUUUUGGAUGGACCCGCGGCGUAUUAGCUAGUUGGUGAGGUAACGGCUCACCAAGGCAAUGAUACGUAGCCGAACUGAGAGGUUGAUCGGCCACAUUGGGACUGAGACACGGCCCAAACUCCUACGGGAGGCAGCAGUAGGGAAUCUUCCACAAUGGACGCAAGUCUGAUGGAGCAACGCCGCGUGAGUGAAGAAGGCUUUCGGGUCGUAAAACUCUGUUGUUGGAGAAGAAUGGUCGGCAGAGUAACUGUUGUCGGCGUGACGGUAUCCAACCAGAAAGCCACGGCUAACUACGUGCCAGCAGCCGCGGUAAUACGUAGGUGGCAAGCGUUAUCCGGAUUUAUUGGGCGUAAAGCGAGCGCAGGCGGUUUUUUAAGUCUGAUGUGAAAGCCCUCGGCUUAACCGAGGAAGUGCAUCGGAAACUGGGAAACUUGAGUGCAGAAGAGGACAGUGGAACUCCAUGUGUAGCGGUGAAAUGCGUAGAUAUAUGGAAGAACACCAGUGGCGAAGGCGGCUGUCUGGUCUGUAACUGACGCUGAGGCUCGAAAGCAUGGGUAGCGAACAGGAUUAGAUACCCUGGUAGUCCAUGCCGUAAACGAUGAAUGCUAGGUGUUGGAGGGUUUCCGCCCUUCAGUGCCGCAGCUAACGCAUUAAGCAUUCCGCCUGGGGAGUACGACCGCAAGGUUGAAACUCAAAGGAAUUGACGGGGGCCCGCACAAGCGGUGGAGCAUGUGGUUUAAUUCGAAGCAACGCGAAGAACCUUACCAGGUCUUGACAUCUUUUGAUCACCUGAGAGAUCAGGUUUCCCCUUCGGGGGCAAAAUGACAGGUGGUGCAUGGUUGUCGUCAGCUCGUGUCGUGAGAUGUUGGGUUAAGUCCCGCAACGAGCGCAACCCUUAUGACUAGUUGCCAGCAUUUAGUUGGGCACUCUAGUAAGACUGCCGGUGACAAACCGGAGGAAGGUGGGGAUGACGUCAAAUCAUCAUGCCCCUUAUGACCUGGGCUACACACGUGCUACAAUGGAUGGUACAACGAGUUGCGAGACCGCGAGGUCAAGCUAAUCUCUUAAAGCCAUUCUCAGUUCGGACUGUAGGCUGCAACUCGCCUACACGAAGUCGGAAUCGCUAGUAAUCGCGGAUCAGCACGCCGCGGUGAAUACGUUCCCGGGCCUUGUACACACCGCCCGUCACACCAUGAGAGUUUGUAACACCCGAAGCCGGUGGCGUAACCCUUUUAGGGAGCGAGCCGUCU
This 1446-nucleotide ribosomal RNA is filed under the name Lacticaseibacillus rhamnosus. RNAcentral describes it as "bacterial SSU rRNA". It matches the Rfam family "Bacterial small subunit ribosomal RNA". The record is from RNAcentral. Lineage: Bacteria; Bacillati; Bacillota; Bacilli; Lactobacillales; Lactobacillaceae.